RNAcentral lists this long non-coding RNA (468 nucleotides) under Vigna radiata. Its description in RNAcentral is "long non-coding RNA (VRAD_LNC002601)". Lineage: Eukaryota; Viridiplantae; Streptophyta; Magnoliopsida; Fabales; Fabaceae. The record is from RNAcentral.
AAAAAACAAAUAAAAAAAAUAAAAAAUAAUAAUAAAAAAAAUAAAAAAAUAAAACCACCUUGGAUUUGCUGUGCGCACAUGCGAUUUCACCCAACUUUUCAAAAAUAAUAAUAUAAUAAUAAAUAGGUGCAGAAAAAGUGGUUUAAAUUUUUUUUUCUUUUUCUUUUCUUUCUUUUUUUAACUUUUCCUCUUUUAACUUUAUCACCCAGCCUUAAUUCUUUUUACCCUAGCCACCCCAUCUCUUUCACUUACCGCAAAGCGAACGUAGCAUCAUCUUCCUCUCCCAAUCUUUCCAUUUUUCCUCCAUUGCCACCAUUCUCAAGCACACUUGCAAAGAUUCUGUGUGCUUCCUUCUCUGUUUUACACUUCUCUGUUUCAUCUCUUCAACUGUUCUCUUUACCAGGUUUGUUUUUCUUUUUAAAUUUUUUUUUUAGUUUGUUCAUAUGUUGAGAUUAGGUUGUUGUUCCA